CAACCCUCGAACCCCUCCGGGGGGUCGGCGUUGGGGACCUCGGGAGCCCCUAAGACGGGAUCCCGGCCCCGAAAUACAGUGGCGGUCUCGCCGCAGCCUCUCCUGCGCAGUAGUUUGCACAACUCGCACCGGGAGCGCGGCGCGUCCACGUCCGUAAAACACCCAACUUCUGAAAUG
This 177-nucleotide ribosomal RNA is filed under the name Trichoderma harzianum. Its description in RNAcentral is "internal transcribed spacer 2 (ITS2)". The record is from RNAcentral. Lineage: Eukaryota; Fungi; Ascomycota; Sordariomycetes; Hypocreales; Hypocreaceae. RNAcentral also lists the same sequence under 2 other names.